AUGUUUGCUCUCUUCAGUAACAUAUAUACUGAAACUGAAACAAUUCAGAGAAGAUUCACAUGGCCGCUGGACAAGGAGAAUAUUGUAAGUUCUACAAACAGCCCUUCUAAUU
Nannospalax galili (Upper Galilee mountains blind mole rat) is the source of this 112-nucleotide small nuclear RNA. The record is from Ensembl. Lineage: Eukaryota; Metazoa; Chordata; Mammalia; Rodentia; Spalacidae.